CGCACACACAUACGAGGCGAGGCGAGCCUCUUAUAACAGCCGUGAGUUGAGCACCUCUUUUAAGCCUUUUUAAAUAAAAACAUCUGGAAUCUCAGUCUUGAUCGGGUGACUAUCUGUCUUAAACAGUUUAUUGAACAGUUUGAUCGCCUGAUACGAUGUUACACACACACACACUUGCGCACACACAUACGAGGCGAGGCGAGGCGAGCCUCUUAUAACAGCCGUGAGUUGAGCACCUCUUUUAAGCCUUUUUAAAUAAAAACAUCUGGAAUCUCAGUCUUGAUCGGGUGACUAUCUGUCUUAAACAGUUUAUUGAACAGUUUGAUCGCCUCAUACGAUGUUACACACACUGACACACUUGCGCACACACAUACGAGGCGAGGCGAGGCGAGCCUCUUAAAACAGCCGUGAGUUGAGCACCUCUUUUAAGCCUUUUUAAAUUAAAAA
This is a long non-coding RNA of Ctenopharyngodon idella (grass carp), 447 nucleotides long. RefSeq lists it as uncharacterized. The transcript is spliced from 3 exons. NCBI's taxonomy places the organism in Eukaryota, Metazoa, Chordata, Actinopteri, Cypriniformes, Xenocyprididae. The record is from RefSeq and is a predicted model, not a curated record.